RNAcentral lists this long non-coding RNA (325 nucleotides) under Androctonus crassicauda. The record is from RNAcentral. Lineage: Eukaryota; Metazoa; Arthropoda; Arachnida; Scorpiones; Buthidae.
AACUUUCCAAUUUUCCAUGGAAGACGCCAUUUAAUCUAAAUUCAUAUGUUUGAGCUGACAGUUCUUGAAUCUAUUACAGACUACACUGCUACUAAUGCUGAUUUUUUUUAUUUUAUUUGUAACAAUCGAAUUGUUCAAGAACUAAAACCGAUAAAGAACAGGCAAUCAACGGCACGACAUCGACAAGACUUUCAAGAGACUUUGAUUGUUCGACGCCAGUUAAAUUUCAUUAAGAGAAGAACAAAGAGUUUUUUCCAUCUUAGAAAUAUUUUUGCCGAAAACUUCCUGAAGACAUCAAGGUUAACCAUGGGAAAUUCUUCUCGUC